AUGUGUUUGCAGGAAACGCGUAGAAACCUAUCUCCAACCUUCAAUCUACCACAGGGGUCUCAAACUCAAUUUACCUGGGGGGCUGUUGAAGGCAGAGUCUGGGUGAGACCGGGGGUGCCAGGAGAGAAAGAGAGCCAGAGAGCCGCUUCCCUGGAAGAGGCGGCAGUGGCGGCAGCUGCUGUUGGCGGCUUGGAGGUGCUCUUCGAGGAUGGGCCGGGAGCAAGGUCCACUCUCAGGCCUCACUCGGUGGUGGCUCAGAUGCUCGGGGAAGAGGGACGGCAGCAUACCUAGACUGCCGGCUCUCCCCCAGAACAGCGCCUCUUGCACCCUCAAUAUGGAAGUGAAGCCUGCCAACUGGCAGACAGGUGGGCUGGCUGGCAGGUUGCAGUUCCAGAGGGAGGGUGCAAGAGGCGCUGUCUUGGGAGAGAGCUGGUGAGCGAGGAGAGGCUUUUUUUGACUCUUGACAGCAGAGGACAUGUGGUCCUUUGGGGGGGGGCAGGCAAGUCGGGGGCCACAAACUAUCAUCCGGCGGGCCGCAAAUGGCCCCUGGGCCACAUGUUUGAGACCCCUGAUCUACCAGGAUACUCGGCAAAAGAUACGAAAGUUGCUAUUUCGGAAAAGAAGCACCGCAGACCGAAAACACAGAGGGAAACAGCCAAGAUAACAUUUUAAAGAAACGACAGACACCCAUCAAAGUGGACUGAAUAUAAGCCAAGGUUUCUCAAGUCAUUACCAAAUGUAAUAUUUAUGCUGUUAUCUACUGUUAUUUUCCUUCACAACUACCAGACCUGUCUUUCCUUACAAGGCUCAAAGGUAAAAACUGUUGAUAUUCCCUAUACUAAAACAGAUGGUUCCUCUACUAUUGUCUUUUACUUUUACUUUUACUUCUAUAUUUCCUCCCCCCUCUUCCCCCCCAGGAUUUUUGACUGGUACCUUCCCCCUGGUUUGCUCUUGCCUGGUUAUCUGCUUUCUGUCUCCUGUGGGAAUGUUUACAAUAGAACUUAAUGCCAAACAUAGGCCAUAAAUUACUGCACUGAAAUGUACCCUCACACACAGGAUUCUUAAAGCCAAUGAAUGUUUUGAAUGUUGUGCUUGCCAUUUCUGUAUUUCAUUCUGCAUUUCUUUCCGCCCCCUGCCCCUAUAUGUCGGAAGAAGUGGACGUGAUCCACAAAAGCUCACAUUAAAAUAUAACACUUAAGGUGCCACAUGCUUCUGUCUUUGCUUUAUUUCUUUGGAUUUUGCCUGAUACCCUUCUAUCAAGAUGCCUGCAUUUUCCUAAAGACCCAUGCAC
Molecule: long non-coding RNA, 1291 nt
Filed under: Pogona vitticeps (central bearded dragon)
Lineage: Eukaryota; Metazoa; Chordata; Lepidosauria; Squamata; Agamidae
Description: lncRNA (ENSPVIG00000012465.1)
Source: RNAcentral